AGUGAACGCUGGCGGUAGGCCUAACACAUGCAAGUCGAACGGCAGCACAGUAAGAGCUUGCUCUUACGGGUGGCGAGUGGCGGACGGGUGAGGAAUACAUCGGAAUCUACUUUUUCGUGGGGGAUAACGUAGGGAAACUUACGCUAAUACCGCAUACGACCUACGGGUGAAGGCAGGGGAUCUUCGGACCUUGCGCGAUUGAAUGAGCCGAUGUCGGAUUAGCUAGUUGGCGGGGUAAAGGCCCACCAAGGCGACGAUCCGUAGCUGGUCUGAGAGGAUGAUCAGCCACACUGGAACUGAGACACGGUCCAGACUCCUACGGGAGGCAGCAGUGGGGAAUAUUGGACAAUGGGCGCAAGCCUGAUCCAGCCUUACCGCGUGGGUGAAGAAGGCCUUCGGGUUGUAAAGCCCUUUUGUUGGGAAAGAAAAGCAGCAGGUUAAUACCCCGCCGUUCUGACGGUACCCAAAGAAUAAGCACCGGCUAACUUCGUG
This 492-nucleotide ribosomal RNA is filed under the name uncultured bacterium. RNAcentral's name for it is "partial 16S ribosomal RNA". It matches the Rfam family "Bacterial small subunit ribosomal RNA", at positions 29 to 507 of the family's 1533-position model. The record is from RNAcentral.